GGUGAACGCUGACAGAAUGCUUAACACAUGCAAGUCCACUUGAACUUCGGUUUGGGUGGCGGACGGGUGAGUAACGCGUAAAGAACUUGCCUCACAGAUAGGGACAACAUUUGGAAACGAAUGCUAAUACCUGAUAUUAUGAUUAUAUGGCAUCGUAUAAUUAUGAAAGCUAUAUGCGCUGUGAGAGAGCUUUGCGUCCCAUUAGCUAGUUGGAGAGGUAACGGCUCACCAAGGCGAUGAUGGGUAGCCGGCCUGAGAGGGUGAUCGGCCACAAGGGGACUGAGACACGGCCCUUACUCCUACGGGAGGCAGCAGUGGGGAAUAUUGGACAAUGGACCAAGAGUCUGAUCCAGCAAUUCUGUGUGCACGAUGAAGUUUUUCGGAAUGUAAAGUGCUUUCAGUUGGGAAGAAAAAAAUGACGGUACCAACAGAAGAAGUGACGGCUAAAUACGUG
This 454-nucleotide ribosomal RNA is filed under the name uncultured bacterium. Its description in RNAcentral is "partial 16S ribosomal RNA". It matches the Rfam family "Bacterial small subunit ribosomal RNA", at positions 28 to 507 of the family's 1533-position model. The record is from RNAcentral.